Molecule: small nuclear RNA, 107 nt
Filed under: Neotoma lepida (desert woodrat)
Lineage: Eukaryota; Metazoa; Chordata; Mammalia; Rodentia; Cricetidae
Source: RNAcentral
AUGCUCAUUUUGGCAGCACAUAUACUAAAACUGAAACGAGACAUAAAAUAUUAGCAUGACCCCUGUUUAAGGAGAACAUACAAAGUCAUGUAGCACUUUACAUAUCU